Non-coding RNA from Nylanderia fulva, 790 nucleotides. NCBI's taxonomy places the organism in Eukaryota, Metazoa, Arthropoda, Insecta, Hymenoptera, Formicidae. The record is from RefSeq and is a predicted model, not a curated record.
CGCGAGCGGCCGGCGAGACGGAUCCGGGUGGAAUCGCGAUGAAUUUGGGUAAAAAAGUGAGAGGGAGAACCAUGAAGAGGCAGCAACAGUAAUGAAAUAAGAGAGGAGAAGACGGUAUCAUCCGAGCGAGCGAGGCGGCAUAAAAAAUAACAGAUCGUAAUUGACGACACCAACAAAUUGAGAGGGAAAGGAGGGCUGGAAAAGGCAUCGAGUAUCAUGCACACUCUAAAAUUAGGGUAUCAGAUCAACAAUACCCAAAAAUUGAGAGAGAAGAAGGUUUAAGAAAGACAUUGGGCGACAAAAGAACCUUAAGAUCACCUCAUAAUAUAUGACAAAUCGAAACGGAAGGAGAUCUAGGACAAACAUCAUUUAUAAAAUAAUCCUACAAUCAACGUAUCAAAUCAACAAUUAUUGACCACCAACAAAAUUGAGAGAGGAGGAGAGGAGGAGGAGGCCUAGGAAGGCAUCGGGUGCCGGCAAAGAAAUCUUAAAGUCAACAGUAGCUUGCAGUUCAUGCCAGUCAACUGCUUGGUGAGCGAUAAAGUAUUAAUUUUUACGAGGUAACGGUUUUGAGAUUAGAGUGUAGAAAAUGUAGAUAUAGAUUUGUGUAGAUUGUAGACUGUAGAUUGUAGACUAGAUUGUAGAUAUUAUAUCCACAUAUCUCAAGAAGAUAAUAAUUAUAAGCACAUAUCUGACACGGUCUAAUGAUCGACACAAAAUGUUGCUUAUUAACAAAUUGAUUAAAAUUGAGACACAAGCUUAUAAGAUCAAGAUGUAUUUUAUUCUUUUU